RNAcentral lists this ribosomal RNA (429 nucleotides) under Lutjanus stellatus (star snapper). RNAcentral's name for it is "partial 16S ribosomal RNA". It matches the Rfam family "Bacterial large subunit ribosomal RNA", at positions 1985 to 2568 of the family's 2925-position model. The record is from RNAcentral. Lineage: Eukaryota; Metazoa; Chordata; Actinopteri; Lutjaniformes; Lutjanidae.
GACCUGUAUGAAUGGCAUAACGAGGGCUUAGCUGUCUCCUUUUUCAAGUCAAUGAAAUUGAUCUCCCCGUGCAGAAGCGGGGAUAAGCACAUAAGACGAGAAGACCCUAUGGAGCUUUAGACACCAAGGCAGACCAUGUUAAACACCCCAAAACAAAGGACCAAACCAAAUGACCCCUGCCCUAAUGUCUUUGGUUGGGGCGACCGCGGGGAAACACAAAACCCCCACGUGGAACGAGAACACCUCCUCUCACAACCAAGAGCUCCCGCUCUAAUAAACAGAAAUUCUGACCAAUAAGAUCCGGCAAGGCCGAUCAACGGACCGAGUUACCCUAGGGAUAACAGCGCAAUCCCCUUUUAGAGGCCAUAUCGACAAGGGGGUUUACGACCUCGAUGUUGGAUCAGGACAUCCUAAUGGUCCAGCCGCUAA